UUUAAAUUGAGAGUUUGAUCCUGGCUCAGGAUGAACGCUGGCGGCGUGCUUAACACAUGCAAGUCG
Molecule: ribosomal RNA, 66 nt
Filed under: Clostridium perfringens
Lineage: Bacteria; Bacillati; Bacillota; Clostridia; Eubacteriales; Clostridiaceae
Description: partial 16S ribosomal RNA
Rfam family: Bacterial small subunit ribosomal RNA
Source: RNAcentral